CUUUAAAGCAAGAGAGUCCAUACUUGGAAUGUUCCAGAAAGCUCUUCCACCGUUUGAAAUGAAUCAAAAGGAAACUAUUCAUCUGGAAACUAUAGCUGCUUUGGGUGGCUUCGGGAAAUGUGUUGCUGAAUUGUUGUUAUGAGCAUCCAAGCUCCAACUGUGACAGUCUGCUGUCUGCUGUCUUCCACCAAUGCGGGAUGAAGGAACUCGCUUCAAACUUGAAAUGAUGACCCAUUCUCCACCAUGAAAUCUGGAAGUGAGCUUUCUAUAUUACAUACGAAGGAGUGUGGAGUGAAGUCUCGGCAUAAUGAUAUGUAGAGCUUAUGAUAUGGUACCUAUAAUGAAGUACCGUUAUCAUCUUCAUCUUUGGUCUCCUUGGCCCAACAUGUUCACGAUGGUUGUGAAGGAAACGAAGCCAUGAGAUUGCACCCCGCUGAUGCAACUUGAGUUGCAUGGCAUGGGUAAACGCCAUCAAAAAUGAACGGCCCAUGAUAAAGGUCAACUUGUUCACGCGAGGUGAUUCGAUAGAUAACUAUAAGGAUGUUUUGCACUGAUUUGAUACCCAUCGGAUCUGUUACAGGCUGUUAAAAUAUAAACCGAGAUUUCGUAAUGAGAUCUAGUCGACCUAUUGGCGUGUGUUGAGAUGUCAGACAUUUAUGGGGUGUUGGUUUGAAUGAUAAUAAAAGUUUCCUAAGAUAUUAAGAUGAGAUAAUGAGAAUGCUAAGUGGACAAGGUAGAGCUGAAAAUUUGUGGUAAGUCCAUCAAUAAAAUACAUGCACUGAUGCUGUGAUUACAUUUUGAUUAUAAAAACAUCGAUUUUAA
Nilaparvata lugens (brown planthopper) is the source of this 822-nucleotide long non-coding RNA. RefSeq lists it as uncharacterized. The transcript has 6 exons. NCBI's taxonomy places the organism in Eukaryota, Metazoa, Arthropoda, Insecta, Hemiptera, Delphacidae. The record is from RefSeq and is a predicted model, not a curated record.